AUAGUAUGGGAAAGGCUCCUGUAUGGUUAAAGCUACCAAAGGACAGUGCAGCUUUGUACUUGGCAUCCUUUAACCUAAAGUAAAUUCCCAAGGGAACAUUCUCUAGGGUUAGAAUUUCCAUUAACAGAUGUGAAGUCCUAGCAGCAGUUUGAUAACCAUGUAUGAUACUGUGAACAAAA
Rattus norvegicus (Norway rat) is the source of this 179-nucleotide non-coding RNA. Ensembl annotates it as small Cajal body-specific RNA 16. The record is from Ensembl. Lineage: Eukaryota; Metazoa; Chordata; Mammalia; Rodentia; Muridae.